This 369-nucleotide ribosomal RNA is filed under the name Triticum aestivum (bread wheat). RNAcentral's name for it is "partial small subunit ribosomal RNA". Lineage: Eukaryota; Viridiplantae; Streptophyta; Magnoliopsida; Poales; Poaceae. The record is from RNAcentral.
AUGCCUGCAACAACUAGACUUCAAGGUGAAAUAGAGCAGUACUUGACCGAUGGUUUAGUGCCUUACGUUGAAAAGUUCAAUGUGUUGGAUUGGUGGAAGGUGGCUGGAACAAGGUAUCCGACCUUAAGGAAAGUAGCAAGAGACAUAUUUGCUAUUCCCGUAACAACAGUUGCUUCAGAGUCAGCCUUUAGUAUAAGUGGCAGAAAGCUUAAUGACCAUAGAAGCCGACUUACACCUCAUAUGGUGGAGGUUUUAAUGUGCUCGCAAGAUUGGCUUCGAAACAAGUACAAAGAUGCUCACACAACAGAAACUAGCUUCUGGACUUGUCUUCAAGACAUUCAAGAAGGGAUGCAGGAAUUGAUGAUUUGA